Molecule: ribosomal RNA, 477 nt
Filed under: uncultured bacterium
Lineage: Bacteria
Description: bacterial SSU rRNA
Rfam family: Bacterial small subunit ribosomal RNA
Source: RNAcentral
GAUAAACGCUGGCGGCGUGCCUAACACAUGCAAGUCGAACGGGCGAAGCUUUUAAGUUUACUUUUAAGCCUAGCUAGUGGCGGACGGGUGAGUAAUGCGUGAGCAACCUGCCUUUCAGAGGGGGACAACAGUUGGAAACGGCUGCUAAUACCGCAUGAUGUAUUUUGAGGGCAUCCUUGAGAUACCAAAGAUUUUAUCGCUGAAAGAUGGGCUCACGUCUGAUUAGUUAGUUGGUGGGGUAACGGCCUACCAAGACCGCGAUCAGUAGCCGGACUGAGAGGUUGAACGGCCACAUUGGGACUGAGAUACGGCCCAGACUCCUACGGGAGGCAGCAGUGGGGAAUAUUGGGGCAAUGGGCGCAAGCCUGACCCCAGCAACGCCGCGUGAAGGAAGAAGGCUUUCGGGUGUAAACUUCUUUUAUCAGGGACAAACAAACUGACGGGUACCUGAAGAAUAAGCCACGGGCUAAACUACGU